Molecule: ribosomal RNA, 2715 nt
Filed under: Salmonella enterica subsp. enterica serovar Enteritidis
Lineage: Bacteria; Pseudomonadati; Pseudomonadota; Gammaproteobacteria; Enterobacterales; Enterobacteriaceae
Description: partial 23S ribosomal RNA
Rfam family: Bacterial large subunit ribosomal RNA
Source: RNAcentral
UAAUCUGCGAUAAGCGCCGGUAAGGUGAUAUGAACCGUUAUAACCGGCGAUACCCGAAUGGGGAAACCCAGUGUGAUUCGUCACACUAUCAUUAACUGAAUCCAUAGGUUAAUGAGGCGAACCGGGGGAACUGAAACAUCUAAGUACCCCGAGGAAAAGAAAUCAACCGAGAUUCCCCCAGUAGCGGCGAGCGAACGGGGAGGAGCCCAGAGCCUGAAUCAGCAUGUGUGUUAGUGGAAGCGUCUGGAAAGGCGCGCGAUACAGGGUGACAGCCCCGUACACAAAAGCGCAUGUGCUGUGAGCUCGAUGAGUAGGGCGGGACACGUGGUAUCCUGUCUGAAUAUGGGGGGACCAUCCUCCAAGGCUAAAUACUCCUGACUGACCGAUAGUGAACCAGUACCGUGAGGGAAAGGCGAAAAGAACCCCGGCGAGGGGAGUGAAAAAGAACCUGAAACCGUGUACGUACAAGCAGUGGGAGCACCCUUUGGGUGUGACUGCGUACCUUUUGUAUAAUGGGUCAGCGACUUAUAUUCUGUAGCAAGGUUAACCGAAUAGGGGAGCCGGAGGGAAACCGAGUCUUAAUUGGGCGUUAAGUUGCAGGGUAUAGACCCGAAACCCGGUGAUCUAGCCAUGGGCAGGUUGAAGGUUGGGUAACACUAACUGGAGGACCGAACCGACUAAUGUUGAAAAAUUAGCGGAUGACCUGUGGCUGGGGGUGAAAGGCCAAUCAAACCGGGAGAUAGCUGGUUCUCCCCGAAAGCUAUUUAGGUAGCGCCUCGUGAAUUCAUCUCCGGGGGUAGAGCACUGUUUCGGCUAGGGGGCCAUCCCGGCUUACCAACCCGAUGCAAACUGCGAAUACCGGAGAAUGUUAUCACGGGAGACACACGGCGGGUGCUAACGUCCGUCGUGAAGAGGGAAACAACCCAGACCGCCAGCUAAGGUCCCAAAGUCAUGGUUAAGUGGGAAACGAUGUGGGAAGGCCCAGACAGCCAGGAUGUUGGCUUAGAAGCAGCCAUCAUUUAAAGAAAGCGUAAUAGCUCACUGGUCGAGUCGGCCUGCGCGGAAGAUGUAACGGGGCUAAACCAUGCACCGAAGCUGCGGCAGCGACACUGUGUGUUGUUGGGUAGGGGAGCGUUCUGUAAGCCUGCGAAGGUGGCCUGUGAGGGUUGCUGGAGGUAUCAGAAGUGCGAAUGCUGACAUAAGUAACGAUAAAGCGGGUGAAAAGCCCGCUCGCCGGAAGACCAAGGGUUCCUGUCCAACGUUAAUCGGGGCAGGGUGAGUCGACCCCUAAGGCGAGGCCGAAAGGCGUAGUCGAUGGGAAACGGGUUAAUAUUCCCGUACUUGGUGUUACUGCGAAGGGGGGACGGAGAAGGCUAUGUUGGCCGGGCGACGGUUGUCCCGGUUUAAGCGUGUAGGUGUGUGUUCCAGGUAAAUCCGGUUCACUUUAACACUGAGGCGUGACGACGAGGCACUACGGUGCUGAAGCAACAAAUGCCCUGCUUCCAGGAAAAGCCUCUAAGCAUCAGGUAACAUCAAAUCGUACCCCAAACCGACACAGGUGGUCAGGUAGAGAAUACCAAGGCGCUUGAGAGAACUCGGGUGAAGGAACUAGGCAAAAUGGUGCCGUAACUUCGGGAGAAGGCACGCUGACACGUAGGUGAAGUGAUUUACUCAUGGAGCUGAAGUCAGUCGAAGAUACCAGCUGGCUGCAACUGUUUAUUAAAAACACAGCACUGUGCAAACACGAAAGUGGACGUAUACGGUGUGACGCCUGCCCGGUGCCGGAAGGUUAAUUGAUGGGGUCAGCGCAAGCGAAGCUCCUGAUCGAAGCCCCGGUAAACGGCGGCCGUAACUAUAACGGUCCUAAGGUAGCGAAAUUCCUUGUCGGGUAAGUUCCGACCUGCACGAAUGGCGUAAUGAUGGCCAGGCUGUCUCCACCCGAGACUCAGUGAAAUUGAACUCGCUGUGAAGAUGCAGUGUACCCGCGGCAAGACGGAAAGACCCCGUGAACCUUUACUAUAGCUUGACACUGAACAUUGAGCCUUGAUGUGUAGGAUAGGUGGGAGGCUUUGAAGUGUGGACGCCAGUCUGCAUGGAGCCGACCUUGAAAUACCACCCUUUAAUGUUUGAUGUUCUAACGUGGACCCGUUACCCGGGUUGCGGACAGUGUCUGGUGGGUAGUUUGACUGGGGCGGUCUCCUCCUAAAGAGUAACGGAGGAGCACGAAGGUUGGCUAAUCCUGGUCGGACAUCAGGAGGUUAGUGCAAUGGCAUAAGCCAGCUUGACUGCGAGCGUGACGGCGCGAGCAGGUGCGAAAGCAGGUCAUAGUGAUCCGGUGGUUCUGAAUGGAAGGGCCAUCGCUCAACGGAUAAAAGGUACUCCGGGGAUAACAGGCUGAUACCGCCCAAGAGUUCAUAUCGACGGCGGUGUUUGGCACCUCGAUGUCGGCUCAUCACAUCCUGGGGCUGAAGUAGGUCCCAAGGGUAUGGCUGUUCGCCAUUUAAAGUGGUACGCGAGCUGGGUUUAGAACGUCGUGAGACAGUUCGGUCCCUAUCUGCCGUGGGCGCUGGAGAACUGAGGGGGGCUGCUCCUAGUACGAGAGGACCGGAGUGGACGCAUCACUGGUGUUCGGGUUGUCAUGCCAAUGGCACUGCCCGGUAGCUAAAUGCGGAAGAGAUAAGUGCUGAAAGCAUCUAAGCACGAAACUUGCCCCGA